GUGUGACUGCGUACCUUUUGUAUAAUGGGUCAGCGACUUAUAUUCUGUAGCAAGGUUAACCGAAUAGGGGAGCCGAAGGGAAACCGAGUCUUAACUGGGCGUUAAGUUGCAGGGUAUAGACCCGAAACCCGGUGAUCUAGCCAUGGGCAGGUUGAAGGUUGGGUAACACUAACUGGAGGACCGAACCGACUAAUGUUGAAAAAUUAGCGGAUGACUUGUGGCUGGGGGUGAAAGGCCAAUCAAACCGGGAGAUAGCUGGUUCUCCCCGAAAGCUAUUUAGGUAGCGCCUCGUGAAUUCAUCUCCGGGGGUAGAGCACUGUUUCGGCAAGGGGGUCAUCCCGACUUACCAACCCGAUGCAAACUGCGAAUACCGGAGAAUGUUAUCACGGGAGACACACGGCGGGUGCUAACGUCCGUCGUGAAGAGGGAAACAACCCAGACCGCCAGCUAAGGUCCCAAAGUCAUGGUUAAGUGGGAAACGAUGUGGGAAGGCCCAGACAGCCAGGAUGUUGGCUUAGAAGCAGCCAUCAUUUAAAGAAAGCGUAAUAGCUCACUGGUCGAGUCGGCCUGCGCGGAAGAUGUAACGGGGCUAAACCAUGCACCGAAGCUGCGGCAGCGACGCUGAUGCGUUGUUGGGUAGGGGAGCGUUCUGUAAGCCUGUGAAGGUGUGCUGUGAGGCAUGCUGGAGGUAUCAGAAGUGCGAAUGCUGACAUAAGUAACGAUAAAGCGGGUGAAAAGCCCGCUCGCCGGAAGACCAAGGGUUCCUGUCCAACGUUAAUCGGGGCAGGGUGAGUCGACCCCUAAGGCGAGGCCGAAAGGCGUAGUCGAUGGGAAACAGGUUAAUAUUCCUGUACUUGGUGUUACUGCGAAGGGGGGACGGAGAAGGCUAUGUUGGCCGGGCGACGGUUGUCCCGGUUUAAGCGUGUAGGCUGGUUUUCCAGGCAAAUCCGGAAAAUCAAGGCUGAGGCGUGAUGACGAGGCACUACGGUGCUGAAGCAACAAAUGCCCUGCUUCCAGGAAAAGCCUCUAAGCAUCAGGUAACAUCAAAUCGUACCCCAAACCGACACAGGUGGUCAGGUAGAGAAUACCAAGGCGCUUGAGAGAACUCGGGUGAAGGAACUAGGCAAAAUGGUGCCGUAACUUCGGGAGAAGGCACGCUGAUAUGUAGGUGAAGUCCCUCGCGGAUGGAGCUGAAAUCAGUCGAAGAUACCAGCUGGCUGCAACUGUUUAUUAAAAACACAGCACUGUGCAAACACGAAAGUGGACGUAUACGGUGUGACGCCUGCCCGGUGCCGGAAGGUUAAUUGAUGGGGUCAGCGCAAGCGAAGCUCUUGAUCGAAGCCCCGGUAAACGGCGGCCGUAACUAUAACGGUCCUAAGGUAGCGAAAUUCCUUGUCGGGUAAGUUCCGACCUGCACGAAUGGCGUAAUGAUGGCCAGGCUGUCUCCACCCGAGACUCAGUGAAAUUGAACUCGCUGUGAAGAUGCAGUGUACCCGCGGCAAGACGGAAAGACCCCGUGAACCUUUACUAUAGCUUGACACUGAACAUUGAGCCUUGAUGUGUAGGAUAGGUGGGAGGCUUUGAAGUGUGGACGCCAGUCUGCAUGGAGCCGACCUUGAAAUACCACCCUUUAAUGUUUGAUGUUCUAACGUUGACCCGUGAUCCGGGUUGCGGACAGUGUCUGGUGGGUAGUUUGACUGGGGCGGUCUCCUCCUAAAGAGUAACGGAGGAGCACGAAGGUUGGCUAAUCCUGGUCGGACAUCAGGAGGUUAGUGCAAUGGCAUAAGCCAGCUUGACUGCGAGCGUGACGGCGCGAGCAGGUGCGAAAGCAGGUCAUAGUGAUCCGGUGGUUCUGAAUGGAAGGGCCAUCGCUCAACGGAUAAAAGGUACUCCGGGGAUAACAGGCUGAUACCGCCCAAGAGUUCAUAUCGACGGCGGUGUUUGGCACCUCGAUGUCGGCUCAUCACAUCCUGGGGCUGAAGUAGGUCCCAAGGGUAUGGCUGUUCGCCAUUUAAAGUGGUACGCGAGCUGGGUUUAGAACGUCGUGAGACAGUUCGGUCCCUAUCUGCCGUGGGCGCUGGAGAACUGAGGGGGGCUGCUCCUAGUACGAGAGGACCGGAGUGGACGCAUCACUGGUGUUCGGGUUGUCAUGCCAAUGGCACUGCCCGGUAGCUAAAUGCGGAAGAGAUAAGUGCUGAAAGCAUCUAAGCACGAAACUUGCCCCGAGAUGAGUUCUCCCUGACCCUUUAAGGGUCCUGAAGGAACGUUGAAGACGACGACGUUGAUAGGCCGGGUGUGUAAGCGCAGCGAUGCGUUGAGCUAACCGGUACUAAUGAACCGUGAGGCUUAACCUU
Molecule: ribosomal RNA, 2354 nt
Filed under: Escherichia coli
Lineage: Bacteria; Pseudomonadati; Pseudomonadota; Gammaproteobacteria; Enterobacterales; Enterobacteriaceae
Description: partial 23S ribosomal RNA
Rfam family: Bacterial large subunit ribosomal RNA
Source: RNAcentral